CGGGACGGGUGAGUAAUGUCUGGGAAACUGCCUGAUGGAGGGGGAUAACUACUGGAAACGGUAGCUAAUACCGCAUAACGUCUUCGGACCAAAGUGGGGGACCUUCGGGCCUCACGCCAUCGGAUGUGCCCAGAUGGGAUUAGCUAGUAGGUGGGGUAAUGGCUCACCUAGGCGACGGUCCCUAGCUGGUCUGAGAGGAUGACCAGCCACACUGGAACUGAGACACGGUCCAG
This 233-nucleotide ribosomal RNA is filed under the name uncultured bacterium. RNAcentral describes it as "partial 16S ribosomal RNA". It matches the Rfam family "Bacterial small subunit ribosomal RNA", at positions 100 to 334 of the family's 1533-position model. The record is from RNAcentral.